This 449-nucleotide ribosomal RNA is filed under the name uncultured bacterium. RNAcentral describes it as "SSU rRNA". It matches the Rfam family "Bacterial small subunit ribosomal RNA", at positions 26 to 518 of the family's 1533-position model. The record is from RNAcentral.
AGAACGAACGCUGGCGGCAGGCUUAACACAUGCAAGUCGAACGCGUGUAGCAAUACACGAGUGGCGCACGGGUGAGUAACGCGUGGAUAUCUGCCUUUUGGUUCGGAAUAACCCCGGGAAACUGGGGCUAAUACCGGAUGGUUCCUACGGGAUAAAGAUUUAUCGCCAAAAGAUGAGCCCGCGUCCGAUUAGCUAGUUGGUGGGGUAAUGGCCUACCAAGGCGACGAUCGGUAGCUGGUCUGAGAGGACGAUCAGCCACACUGGGACUGAGACACGGCCCAGACUCCUACGGGAGGCAGCAGUGGGGAAUAUUGGACAAUGGGGGCAACCCUGAUCCAGCCAUGCCGCGUGAGUGAUGAAGGCCUUCGGGUUGUAAAGCUCGUUUUGGCGGGGACGAUGAUGACGGUACCCACAGAAUAAGCCCCGGCUAACUUCGUGCCAGCAGCCGC